UUUUGGUUUAUUUAUUUUUUUCUUAUUAUUAUUCUAUUUUUCAUUUUUUUAUGCUCUGGAACCAUCUUGGAGACAAAGUUUCUUUCUGAAGACUGGAAUUUUCUAAGGUUCUCACCAGGUAUUGAAAGACCAGGCAUUGGAAAAGGCUCCCCAGGGAAGUGGUCAUAGCACCAAACCUGACAGAAGUCACUCAAGAAGCAUUUGGACACCACUCUCAGGCACAUGGAGUGAUUUUUGGGAUGUCCUGUGCAGGAAAACAAAUCGCUCAAGAUGCUUACGUGUGUUAAUUGCCAAAACCAUUUUGAAAAACACCUCUGAAUGCUGACUUCACGCAGUGGGAACUGCUAGGUCAUACCUUUACAGAAGAUGGUACUCCCUCCAAAGUGACAGAGUUGCCCCAGUACAAAAAGGUUUUUUUGGACUGGGGAAACAGAUCCAAUGCAGCCAGUUGAGAUAAUUUCUCACCUAGUAGAAACCCCCUGCAUG
Passer domesticus (house sparrow) is the source of this 486-nucleotide long non-coding RNA. RefSeq lists it as uncharacterized. The record is from RefSeq and is a predicted model, not a curated record. The transcript is spliced from 3 exons. Lineage: Eukaryota; Metazoa; Chordata; Aves; Passeriformes; Passeridae.